CACAGCAGUCUCCUUCCUUCGGGUUAGGCAAUAAUCAUCCGGGGCACUAUCCACUCGCCGUAGCCGGAUACACAAACACACACACGGUUCCUGCGUCCCGUUGCUAACUCACAGCUAGCUUAUGCUAACGUCUGUCCUGUUGCUACUUUGGCUGUUUGGGGGCGAACAAACAAACGACCCCGCGGUCACAUUCACCGGAAUGACGCUAGGAGAAAACUACGCAUCGCUGUGAGAAGGAAUAUGGCGUUUGAUAUCGGUUUUAUUUGUGUUUCUGCAAAUAGACGGUUGCAGGUGGACUGGUGUUUACAUGGUCCGUGGGAGCUGGAAGUCCGCAGUCAGCUGUGUGGCGGCUGCAGUGCUUUGAUUAGUCUCCUAGCUGAAGAUCUGCAGCCUCAAUGGAUGUCAUCUGGGAAGAAGAGGAGGAGGAGGAGCCUUGUAGAGACCAGCUGAAGGAACAUCUUCUCUGAGCUGAAGCUCUGAGAUGAGUGCAGAGUUUCCGGACCACAACGGAGAAGUUCCUUCACUCCAUUCAUGCCGCCUUCUCUCCGUACUCACUGUAUACUCAUAGUAUUGUAUGUCAUGAAAUAAUUUAAUAAAAAAGUAAGUAAUAGUACGUAUUAUGUCAAAAAAAAGCUCAGAAAAGUCAUACAUGUCAAAAAGUGUUAUUACAAUGUUAUAACACUGUUAUAACAUGUAUUAUGACAAAAAGCUGUCACAAAGUUAAAAAAAGUGUCAAAAAGUGUUAUUACAUUGUUAUAACACUGUUAUAACAAUGUAAUAACUAUGUAAUAUGACAAAAAAAUCUGUUAAAAAGUGCUAUUACACAGCUGUACACAGUACAUGCCGUAAAAGUGGAUGUAAAUAAUUUUUUUGUCCAUAAAAAAAAAAAAUUUGGAUUUUUUUUCUUAAAUUAGAAUCUUCUCUUCCUUUCUCCUACUCACUUUCUCUGAGAUGUCCUACUCUGGUCUCUUCCUGUCUCUGAGGUGUCCUAGUGCGGUCUCACCCUUUCUCUGAGUUGUCCUACUCUGGUCUCUUCCUGUCUCUGAGGUGUCCUACACUUGUCUCUUCCUGUCCUAGGGUGGUCUUUUCCUGUCUCACUCUUUCUCUGAGGUGUCCUACUCUGGUCUCUGCCUUACUCUGAUCCCUGCCUGUCCUUGUCUUAAUACUCCUACUCUGGUCUCUGCCUGUCCUUGUCUUAAUACUCUCCUACUCUCUUCUUGCCUGCACUUCCUUUCCUAGCCUCUCUUUCCUAUCUGGGGGGCCUAUCUAAGUGCACACACGCUGAUACCGAGCUGUCUUGAACCCGCCACCGGCGCCUUUAGUGGCGAAGACAAACCAACUGCGCCACCAACGCAUGUACGCAUGUGACCGUUCUCCGGGUGUAUUUGUCUUUGUCAUUCUGGGUGUAAAGCUCAAAAUAAAUUGACUGUUCUUGCGUUGGAACCCAUAACCUUUGUGUCUCCCAACCAGCGUUCCAUCACACUGAGCUAUCAGAUCUGAUGGACAAGCUCAUGGUUAGUUGUGUAUUUGUCUUUGUCAUUCUUGGUGUAAAGCUCAAAAUAAAUUGUCCUUUCCUGUGUUGGAA
This is a long non-coding RNA of Perca flavescens (yellow perch), 1585 nucleotides long. RefSeq lists it as uncharacterized. The record is from RefSeq and is a predicted model, not a curated record. Lineage: Eukaryota; Metazoa; Chordata; Actinopteri; Perciformes; Percidae. The transcript is spliced from 4 exons.